Sus scrofa (pig) is the source of this 7080-nucleotide non-coding RNA. The record is from RefSeq and is a predicted model, not a curated record. Lineage: Eukaryota; Metazoa; Chordata; Mammalia; Artiodactyla; Suidae.
ACGCACGGGUCCGCGGGAGAGCUGCCCACGCCAACAUGGCGGCGUCCGGUUGUGGGGAGUUUUUUCGCUUGGAGUUUUGGCCGGGGCGGGGGUCUGGGCUUUAGGCAGUAAGUGGGUCCGGCGGCCAGAGGUCUUGGGAGGGACGAGGGAGGCGUAGGGCCCGUAAGAGCGGCACCGCCUGAGGAGGACGAGGCGGGAGCUGCCCGGGCCGACCACGGGGCGCGGCGUCCUCCUGGCGUCGGGUCUGCCUUCCUCGUCCGCUGGGGCCUCUGCCGCCUCGCGCCCGGGGCUCCGUAGUGGCUUGGAGGGCUUGAGGGCCUGGCCUCGACCGUGGAGUGGGCGAGACAGGAAUCACGACCACGCGCCCGAGGCUACACUUUCCAAGUUCCAUUUUUUUCUUUUUUUUUUGCGUGUGGUGUUUUUGUUUUUUUUUUCUGGGGAACGGGUUUAAGAAGAAAAUAAUAGCAUUUCAGCGCUUCCUGUUAUUUAGGAACUGGGCUAGGCGUUUUGCAUUGCUCCUCUCCAAGAGACCCUCCUCCACUUUCGAGGGUAAAAUUUAGUUUCACAAUGUUUGGGGACCUAUUUGAAGAGGACUAUUCCAGUGUGUCAAAUAAUCAUUAUGGAAAAGGGAAGAAAUUAAAGACCAAAACUUUGGAGCCAUCUGCUCCUAGAGAAUUCACCAAUUUAAGUGGAAUCAGAAAUCAGGGUGGAACCUGUUACCUCAAUUCCCUUCUUCAGACUCUUCAUUUCACACCUGAAUUCAGAGAAGCUUUGUUUUCUCUUGGCCCAGAGGAGCUCGGUUCAUUAGAGGAUAAGGAUAAGCCUGAUGCAAAGGUCCGAAUCAUACCUUUACAGUUACAGCGGCUGUUUGCACAGCUCCUGCUCUUGGACCAGGAAGCUGCAUCCACAGCAGACCUCACUGACAGCUUUGGAUGGACCAGCAAUGAGGAAAUGAGGCAACAUGAUGUGCAGGAACUGAAUCGAAUUCUCUUUAGUGCUUUGGAAACUUCUUUAGUUGGGACCUCCGGCCAUGACCUCAUCAAUCGUCUGUAUCACGGAACCAUUGUUAACCAGGUUGUUUGUAAAGACUGUAAGAAUGUCAGUGAAAAGCAGGAAGACUUCUUAGAUCUCACAGUGGCUGUCAAGAAUGUAUCAAGUUUGGAAGAUGCCCUCUGGAACAUGUAUGUAGAAGAGGAAGUUUUUGACUAUGACAACUUAUACCACUGUGGAACUUGUGACAAGCUGGUUAAAGCAGCAAAGUCGGCCAAAUUACGUAAGCUGCCUCCCUUUCUCACUGUUUCAUUACUAAGAUUUAAUUUUGAUUUUGUGAAGUGUGAACGAUACAAGGAAACUAGCUGCUAUACAUUCCCUCUCCGGAUCAACCUCAAGCCUUUUUGUGAACAGAGUGAAUUAGAUGACUUGGAAUAUAUGUAUGACCUCUUCUCGGUUAUUAUACACAAGGGUGGUUGCUAUGGAGGACACUAUCAUGUGUAUAUUAAAGACGUUGAUCAUUUGGGAAACUGGCAGUUUCAAGAGGACAAAAGUAACCCAGAUGUGAAUUUAGAAGAUCUUCAGAGUGAAAAAGAGAUUGAUGAUCCAUUGAUGAUUCUAAAAGCAAUCUUAUUACAGGAGGAGAGUAAUCAAAUUCCUGUUGAUCAGCUGGGCCAGAAACUCUUGAAAAAGAAAGGAGUGUCUUGGAAUAAGAAGUACAGAAAACAGUAUGGACCACUGCGAAAGUUCUUACAGCUUCACUCUCAGAUGUUUCAGCUCAGUUCAGAUGAAAGAACAGUGAGUCUGUUGAAGGACCGUUCUCUCCAGGCUGAGUCUGAUUUCCAAAGGAGUGAUCAAAAGACAAGUACUUCAGAGUCCCCAGGUUUAAACGAUAGACCCUCCUGUCCCCACUGGUUUGAUAUAAAUGACGCCAAAGUCCAGCCAAUCAAGGAAAAGGAUAUUGAACAGCAAUUUCAGGGUAAAGAAAGUGCCUACAUGUUGUUUUAUCGGAAAUCCCAGUUGCAGAGACCCCCUGAAGCUCGAGCUAACCCAAGAUACAGGGUUCCAUGUCAUUUGCUGAAUGAAAUGGAUGCAGCCAACAUUGAACUACAAAUGAAAAGGGCAGAAUGUGAUUCUACAAACAAUAGUUUUGAAUUGCAUCUCCACCUCGGCCCCCAUUAUCAUUUCUUCAAUGGGGCUCUGCACCCAGUAGUCUCACAAACAGAAAGCAUGUGGGAUUUGACCUUUGAUAAAAGAAAAACUUUAGGAGAUCUUCGACAAUCAAUAUUUCAGCUGUUAGAAUUUUGGGAAGGAGAUAUGGUUCUUAGUAUUGCCAAGUUUGUGCCAGCAGGACUUCACGUUUACCAGACACUUGAUGGAGAUGACCUGACACUGUGUGAAACUGAGAUUGCUGAUGGGGAAGACAUCUUUGUCUGGAAUGGGGUGGAGGUUGGUGGAAUCCAGAUUCCAACCGGUAGUGACUGUGAACCUCUGCUUUUAAAUGUUCUUCAUCUGGGCACAAGCAGCGAAGGAGAGGAGAGUCAGCAGUUGGUGGAAUCUCCGCAUGUCUUUCCAUCUAACGCGGAACUAGGCACUGUGUUCGCAGCCUUGUCAGUCCCAGAAGGGGUCGUCUUAAUCAACAGCACCACAUCUCUAGGUGAGGAGAGCUGGACCGCCCUUGCCAAGGAAGACUUGAAGAAGACUUUCAGAGAACAAGGUCUCAGAAAUGGAAGCACAGUUUUAAUUCAGGAUUCUAAUGAUGAUAGCAGUUUUUUGACCAAACAAGGGAAAUGGAUCACUAGUACGAAUGAGAUUGACUGGCUCCAAGUUAAAAAUUUAUGCCAAUUAGAAUCUGAAGAGGAGCAAGUUAAAAUAUCAGCAACUCUUAACACAGUGGUGUUUGAUAUUCGAACUAAAGCCAUAAAGGAAUUAAAAUUAAUGAAGGAACUAGCUGAAAACAGCUGUUUGAGGCCUAUUGACAGAAAGGGGAAGCUUCUUUGUCCAGUGCCAGACAGUUACACUUUGAAGGAAGCAGAAUUGAAGCCGGGGAGUUUAUUGGGCCUCUGUCCUGGAAAAGCACCGACAUCUUCUCAGCUAUUCCUGUUUUUUGCUGUCGGGAGUGAUGUUCAGCCUGGGACAGAGAUGGAGAUCAUAGUGGAAGAAACAGUAUCUGUAAGAGGUUGUUUAAAGAUAAUGCUGGAGAAAUCUGGCCUGUCAGGAGACACAUGGCAUUUACGAAAAAUGGAUUGGUGCUUUGAAGCUGGGGAGCCUUUAUGUGAAGAAGAUGCAACACUGAAAGAGCUUAUGAUAUGUUCUGGAGAUACCUUGCUUUUAAUUGAAGGAAAACUUCCUCCUCUGGGCUUCCUGAAGGUGCCCAUCUGGUGGUACCAGCCACGGGGUCCCUGGCGUCACUGGCAUCAUCAGGACCAGAUGGACUGUACCUUUGCUCAAGGUGCUCCUGGUGACAGGCAGGCGGAAGUUUCUCUCCACUACUUGGGAGACAUUGAAAUCUCAGAAGAUGCCACCCUGGGGGAGCUGAAGUCUCAGUUACAGUCUGUUCUGAUAUGGCAUGUGUUAUAUGCCAUGUUCAGGGGUGAGUACCCAACAGGCCACACGCGCAUAGAGCCCACACAGCCCCUGGGUUUGUUUCUGCCCCAUGGCUUUCAUUUAUCCCCUGACAGGCAUGCUGUGCUUUCAUUUGAGCAUCUCCUCAGUGACGUGCAGCUCAUGUUCAUUUUGAGUUGUUAGGGACGCAUUCGUUGGAACAUUCGUGAAGCAUUCACCUUACUCCUUUAUUUACAUUGUUUUGUGUCAUCGUGAUUCAUGUGUUAAAUGUUGUUAGUUAAAAGCUGUGUUGUCCCUGGCCCAGGAGGUCAGACUGUCAGCUAGAUGUUAGGGUGUUAAAUGAAAAUGGAUUGUUUGCUGGGGUAUCAGCAUCCACAGGCAGAGAGUCUUCCCAAAAUGCUGAAGAAAUGUCUCACUCUCGUUAGAUUAAAACGAACAUCCUUUUUUCCUCUUAGAGGAAAAGAUGUGGGAGCAUGUGAGAUGAAUUCGUCAGUCUCUGGCAAAUGACUUUUCUUGUGUGUCCUCAGCCUAUGAAAUACCUUCCUCAAAAAAAGCAAGUUGUCUUAGUCUCAUUAGAAAAGUAGAGAGACUUUUUUUUUUCUUGUAUUGGAUUAAAAGACACAAAAAUGCUAUUUCUAGAUUUAAAAUGGAUGAAUAUUGGCCUUUUCAUAUAUAAUGCAACCCAAAUAUAUAGAUAGUUACCUAUCCUUUCAGAAUUAGUACAGCAGUUUGGGCCUCACAGUUGGGAUCCAGAGAUUCUGCAGCAUUUCAAAAUCAAAAGAAAUGCCCUUGGCAGAGCACUUGAGGAUCAGAGUCUGCUUUUGCCAGCGUGGUCCCUGCUCCUGUGAGUUAUCGUCAUGGAGAAAUGAGUUUUAAAGUCUCAUUUUUGAAAACAGUCGUUGAAAAAAGGAGUUUUUGGCUCAGAUUCAGGCCGUUUCAGUAGAGAGGCAUAUCAACAUUAGCCAGGACAAAUUUAAGAGAUACUCCUGUGGAUUUUUGUCAUUACUCAAUAUUAUCAUUACUCAAGAUGCUCUCUUCCUCAGAUAUCAUUGUGUUGCGCUUCGUUUUCCCCUAAAGCAAUCUGUCUGUAAGAGCGCUUUUGCAAAUGUCUGUUUCCUUUCUAGGCCCUGACCUUGCCGAACUUCUCGGAGUUUCCCGUCCCUUCCCCAGCCUUCCUCAGAGCCUGGACGGUGGAGUACAAGCGGCCCGGCAGACUCUUACGCGUCCACCAGCAGCAGCUCAAGGAAUAUAAGUUGGGGAAGAGAACUGAGAUCUGCUUAGAGCCCCUUCAGAAAGAAGAACACUUGGGCCCCCAGGAUGUGCUGCUGAGGACACAGAUGCGCCUCCCUGGCAAGAGGGCAUAUGCUCUGCCCGUGGACUUAGUGUGGGACACGGCCCGAGGCUGGACGGCUGGCUCCCUGAGGCAGCGAGUAGCCAAUUUCUGUUCUCUUCCUGUGGAGAAAAUCGAAAUUGCCAAAUACUUUCCUGAAAAGUUUGAGUGGCUUCCAAUAUCUAGCUGGAACCAGCAAAUUACUAAGAAAAAGAAGAAGAAAAAGCAAGAUAAUUUGCAGGGGGCACCUUAUUAUUUGAAAGAUGGAGAUACUAUUGGUAUUAAGAUGUAGGCUCAAAGUGACUGAGGACCUUGUCGUUACCUGUUUUGACCUGCAGAACCUCCUGCUCGAAGACGACGACGAUUUCAGCACAGACGGAGAUGACGCCGGGAGAGGACAACAGGAACUGCUCGCUCUGGGGAGGAAGCAAAGCCACGAAGCCCUUCGCGUGCAGAGCAGCGACAACGUCUCUGGUGCAGAGAUGCCUGCCCGGCCCCGUGGACCAGAAGCUUCUCUCUCCAUCCGCGUGGGGAGUUUCCGAUAGCGUCGGCAGGCGGUGCUGCCCGGACGCGGGGCCUCAGCUUCGCUCCAGGUCGCCGGCCUGUUCCCGCGAGCGGCUCUGCCCCUGCCUGUGCGACACCGACUCCAACCCCCGGCUCUGCCAUCUUGGGCCAGGCAGGUGACCAGUCACCGGCUUCGCGGCGCAUCCACCCGGGGCCGGCACUGACUGGCCGUCCUCCAGGUGCCAACCCCGGCCGUUUGGCCGAGAACAUUGCCGGUUUCGCAGCCGCGGACGGCACGGCGUGUUGCUCGCCUCUGACAGAGCCACGGCCGGCGCCCCUGCCCGCGCGCUUCCCUCGGCGGCCGGGGCUGGCCGGGCUCUCCUGCCACGUAAACUGGCGUGUUUUCUGUUCCCCUGUGGUUUGAGUUCACACCGAGUCUAAAGCCGCCUCUUUCUGGGGGGAGCAGCCCCGCGAGGCCUGCGAGGUCAAGCCGCCUCCGGCGGGUGCUGCCGGCGGGGGCGCCGAGGGCCUGGCUCUGCGCAGCGGGGAAAGGAAGUGGGACCCGAGUCUACCCGGUGCCGCCUGGCUGGCUAACUUCAGGGGUUUCGGUGGGUUCGUGGCAAAUGCAGCAUCGGCAGGGAUGCCGCGCUGACUGAGGACACAGGCCGGUCACGUUCUCAGACCCACUCCGUCGAAGCAAGACUCUGAGAAGACGCCAGGAAGCCCUUGCUUGGCCCUCUCGUGACCCGGCGCUCUUGACUCCCACGGGCGCUCCUCAGCCUCUCGAGCGGGGAGCUGAAAACAGCACCUCUGACGGCGAAGAGGCCGAAGCAUCCGGCCGCAGGGAGCUGGCGGGCGGCCCUGCGACAGAGUGGCCGCUCGCGGGAUGAACGACCUGCUUUCCUCCUCUGUCCUCCAGACACCGUCAGAGCCACUGACAGGAGCUCUCAUCUCCUCCGUGGUCCGUCUGAAGUGGUUGGGUUGCCGGUUAGGUACCGAUUUGUCUAGAAGCAGCUGCGUUGUAAGAAGUCGAACUCCGGCGGGUCCUGGGCCUCAAACGCUGGAGCCUCGCAUCCGUCUCGGGAGACCCGCGCGGGGUGGAGGCGCCUGGUGGGCUGCGGGCUGCCCCGCGGUAAGCGUUUCAGCGGCCUAGAAGCUGUUCUGUCCCUUUUACGUUACCUGGCAGGGCCCCUCGUGCCCUUCGUUGCCCUGUAAUAAAACAGACGUAAUAACCGAAAAGCCCAAAGCCAGAGACCUCGCUGGGCGGCACUUACCAGGAGGAACACGGGUCAAGGUGCCUUGUGGUGUCCAGGCCUCAGGGGCCUCUGCUUGUCAGCUGGCUCCCCUCCUUCCUUCCCUCUUAAAAAAAUUCUGGGUUGGGGGAGUGCCUGUCAUCGCUCAUGGGAAACGAAUCUUACUAGGAUCCAUGAGGAUGCAGGUUCGAUCCCUGGCCUCGCUCAGUGGUCAAGGAUCUGGCAUUGCCAUGAGCUGUGGUGUAGGUCACAGAUGCGGCUCAGAUCCAGCGUUGCUGUGGCUGUGGCGUAGGCCAGUGGGUACAGCUCGCAUUUGACCCCUAGCCUAGAAACCUCCAUAUGCUGGGGUGCGGCCCUAAAAAAAAAAUUCAGGGUUGGAGUGGGGCCACAGGGAGAGAGCUGUAAGUUUCUGUUAAAAAAUAAAUGGUUCAAUUUGUA